RNAcentral lists this unclassified non-coding RNA (751 nucleotides) under Hevea brasiliensis (rubber tree). Lineage: Eukaryota; Viridiplantae; Streptophyta; Magnoliopsida; Malpighiales; Euphorbiaceae. The record is from RNAcentral.
UGUUGGGAAUGCUAAAGCUUGCUUUAACCUGUACAGUAGAGUCACUUUCUGUGCGUCCAUCAAUGAAGCGGGUUCUUGAGAAAUUGAAACUUUUUAAAUCAUAAAAGCAUCAGAAAUUUUUGGCAAGGGAUAGUGAUGGGAAGGUGUAGCUGCUUAUGACUGCAGGAUAUUCCAUAUCUUGAGCUAAGAUGUACACUCUGGAAAUCUUGCUGCGUAAUCAUGGCUGGAUGAUCACCUUCAAAAUAAGAAUCAGUUUUCAGCUUGUUGUGGUAGUGAAGGAUGUAAAAUCAUCAACUGGGAUGUUCUGCACAAACUGUUGGCUAAUUGGACGGUUUACUAGUAACUUGACGAAAAUCAAGGCAUGGACCUUGGAUUUACAGCUGCUAGAUUUGAAGCAGAUUUUUGGAAUGCAAUUGCUAAAUUUGCCUUCUUGAAUUAAUCAGGUUUGAUGGAAGGGAGAAUUAUUGAAGAUAUGCAGGCUAUGCUUUGUAGACUUCUGGUUUUGGCUUUUCUGCCAUCCCUACAACUUAGAGUAACACUUAGCUUCCUCUGCUGACUGCUUUAUUGUUGGGACUGAAGAUCUUCCAUCAUCCUGUUCUGGAGGAUCUUUUAUUUACUGAUGUAUUAAGGUUUUUAAUUCCUUAUACAUGCUUACUUUUCUCAAAUAUAAAUGAAUAAAUUAACGCAAGAAUGAUUGAGCAUCUGUUGUGCUAACUAAGCAUUAUUGUCAGCAGAAACAUAGGACUAUGUU